This 252-nucleotide ribosomal RNA is filed under the name uncultured bacterium. RNAcentral's name for it is "partial 16S ribosomal RNA". It matches the Rfam family "Bacterial small subunit ribosomal RNA", at positions 524 to 776 of the family's 1533-position model. The record is from RNAcentral.
UACGUAUGGGGCAAGCGUUGUUCGGAAUUAUUGGGCGUAAAGAGCGUGUAGGCGGUGUGCUCAGCCCGAUGUAAAAGGCCACGGCUUAACCGUGGUAUGCGUCGGGAACUGGCAUACUAGAGUCUAGGAGGGGAAGCUGGAAUUCUUGGUGGAGGGGUGAAAUCUGUAGAUCCCAAGGAGAACACCGGAGGCGAAGGCGAGCUUCUGGCCAUAGACUGACGCUGAGAUGCGAAAGCGUGGGGAGCGAACAGG